Molecule: ribosomal RNA, 703 nt
Filed under: uncultured bacterium
Lineage: Bacteria
Description: bacterial SSU rRNA
Rfam family: Bacterial small subunit ribosomal RNA
Source: RNAcentral
CACGCCCUAAACGAUGUCUACUAGUUGUCGGGUCUUAAUUGACUUGGUAACGCAGCUAACGCGUGAAGUAGACCGCCUGGGGAGUACGGUCGCAAGAUUAAAACUCAAAGGAAUUGACGGGGACCCGCACAAGCGGUGGAUGAUGUGGAUUAAUUCGAUGCAACGCGAAAAACCUUACCUACCCUUGACAUGGCUGGAAUCCUUGAGAGAUUGAGGAGUGCUCGAAAGAGAACCAGUACACAGGUGCUGCAUGGCUGUCGUCAGCUCGUGUCGUGAGAUGUUGGGUUAAGUCCCGCAACGAGCGCAACCCUUGUCAUUAGUUGCUACGAAAGGGCACUCUAAUGAGACUGCCGGUGACAAACCGGAGGAAGGUGGGGAUGACGUCAAGUCCUCAUGGCCCUUAUGGGUAGGGCUUCACACGUCAUACAAUGGUACAUACAGAGCGCCGCCAACCCGCGAGGGGGAGCUAAUCGCAGAAAGUGUAUCGUAGUCCGGAUUGUAGUCUGCAACUCGACUGCAUGAAGUUGGAAUCGCUAGUAUUCGCGGAUCAGCAUGUCGCGGUGAAUACGUUCCCGGGUCUUGUACACACCGCCCGUCACACCAUGGGAGCGGGUUUUACCAGAAGUAGGUAGCUUAACCGCAAGGAGGGCGCUUACCACGGUAGGAUUCGUGACUGGGGUGAAGUCGUAACAAGGUAACCAAG